CUCGUAGGUGGCCAACUAAGUCAUACGUGAAAUCCCUCGGCUUAACCGGGGAACUGCGUCUGAUACUGGAUGGCUUGAGGUUGGGAGAGGGACGCGGAAUUCCAGGUGUAGCGGUGAAAUGCGUAGAUAUCUGGAGGAACACCGGUGGCGAAGGCGGCGUCCUGGACCAAUUCUGACACUGAGGAGCGAAAGCCAGGGGAGCAAACG
This 207-nucleotide ribosomal RNA is filed under the name uncultured bacterium. RNAcentral's name for it is "partial 16S ribosomal RNA". It matches the Rfam family "Bacterial small subunit ribosomal RNA", at positions 568 to 774 of the family's 1533-position model. The record is from RNAcentral.